RNAcentral lists this ribosomal RNA (450 nucleotides) under uncultured bacterium. Its description in RNAcentral is "bacterial SSU rRNA". It matches the Rfam family "Bacterial small subunit ribosomal RNA", at positions 25 to 518 of the family's 1533-position model. The record is from RNAcentral.
CAGAACGAACGCUGGCGGCAGGCUUAACACAUGCAAGUCGAACGCACCGCAAGGUGAGUGGCAGACGGGUGAGUAACGCGUGGGAACCUUCCCUUUGGUACGGGAUAACUUCGGGAAACCGAAGCUAAUACCGUAUGAGUCCUUCGGGAGAAAGAUUUAUCGCCAAAGGAUGGGCCCGCGUUGGAUUAGCUAGUUGGUAGGGUAAUGGCCUACCAAGGCGACGAUCCAUAGCUGGUCUGAGAGGAUGAUCAGCCACACUGGGACUGAGACACGGCCCAGACUCCUACGGGAGGCAGCAGUGGGGAAUAUUGGACAAUGGGGGGAAAAACCCCCUGAUCCAGCCAUGCCGCGUGAGUGAAGAAGGCCUUAGGGUUGUAAAGCUCUUUUGGCGGGGACGAUAAUGACGGUACCCGCAGAAUAAGCCCCGGCUAACUUCGUGCCAGCCGCGGC